Molecule: ribosomal RNA, 1698 nt
Filed under: Escherichia coli
Lineage: Bacteria; Pseudomonadati; Pseudomonadota; Gammaproteobacteria; Enterobacterales; Enterobacteriaceae
Description: partial 23S ribosomal RNA
Rfam family: Bacterial large subunit ribosomal RNA
Source: RNAcentral
CUGUAAGCCUGUGAAGGUGUGCUGUGAGGCAUGCUGGAGGUAUCAGAAGUGCGAAUGCUGACAUAAGUAACGAUAAAGCGGGUGAAAAGCCCGCUCGCCGGAAGACCAAGGGUUCCUGUCCAACGUUAAUCGGGGCAGGGUGAGUCGACCCCUAAGGCGAGGCCGAAAGGCGUAGUCGAUGGGAAACAGGUUAAUAUUCCUGUACUUGGUGUUACUGCGAAGGGGGGACGGAGAAGGCUAUGUUGGCCGGGCGACGGUUGUCCCGGUUUAAGCGUGUAGGCUGGUUUUCCAGGCAAAUCCGGAAAAUCAAGGCUGAGGCGUGAUGACGAGGCACUACGGUGCUGAAGCAACAAAUGCCCUGCUUCCAGGAAAAGCCUCUAAGCAUCAGGUAACAUCAAAUCGUACCCCAAACCGACACAGGUGGUCAGGUAGAGAAUACCAAGGCGCUUGAGAGAACUCGGGUGAAGGAACUAGGCAAAAUGGUGCCGUAACUUCGGGAGAAGGCACGCUGAUAUGUAGGUGAAGCGACUUGCUCGUGGAGCUGAAAUCAGUCGAAGAUACCAGCUGGCUGCAACUGUUUAUUAAAAACACAGCACUGUGCAAACACGAAAGUGGACGUAUACGGUGUGACGCCUGCCCGGUGCCGGAAGGUUAAUUGAUGGGGUCAGCCGCAAGGCGAAGCUCUUGAUCGAAGCCCCGGUAAACGGCGGCCGUAACUAUAACGGUCCUAAGGUAGCGAAAUUCCUUGUCGGGUAAGUUCCGACCUGCACGAAUGGCGUAAUGAUGGCCAGGCUGUCUCCACCCGAGACUCAGUGAAAUUGAACUCGCUGUGAAGAUGCAGUGUACCCGCGGCAAGACGGAAAGACCCCGUGAACCUUUACUAUAGCUUGACACUGAACAUUGAGCCUUGAUGUGUAGGAUAGGUGGGAGGCUUUGAAGCGUGGACGCCAGUCUGCGUGGAGCCGACCUUGAAAUACCACCCUUUAAUGUUUGAUGUUCUAACGUGGACCCGUUAUCCGGGUUGCGGACAGUGUCUGGUGGGUAGUUUGACUGGGGCGGUCUCCUCCUAAAGAGUAACGGAGGAGCACGAAGGUUGGCUAAUCCUGGUCGGACAUCAGGAGGUUAGUGCAAUGGCAUAAGCCAGCUUGACUGCGAGCGUGACGGCGCGAGCAGGUGCGAAAGCAGGUCAUAGUGAUCCGGUGGUUCUGAAUGGAAGGGCCAUCGCUCAACGGAUAAAAGGUACUCCGGGGAUAACAGGCUGAUACCGCCCAAGAGUUCAUAUCGACGGCGGUGUUUGGCACCUCGAUGUCGGCUCAUCACAUCCUGGGGCUGAAGUAGGUCCCAAGGGUAUGGCUGUUCGCCAUUUAAAGUGGUACGCGAGCUGGGUUUAGAACGUCGUGAGACAGUUCGGUCCCUAUCUGCCGUGGGCGCUGGAGAACUGAGGGGGGCUGCUCCUAGUACGAGAGGACCGGAGUGGACGCAUCACUGGUGUUCGGGUUGUCAUGCCAAUGGCACUGCCCGGUAGCUAAAUGCGGAAGAGAUAAGUGCUGAAAGCAUCUAAGCACGAAACUUGCCCCGAGAUGAGUUCUCCCUGACUCCUUGAGAGUCCUGAAGGAACGUUGAAGACGACGACGUUGAUAGGCCGGGUGUGUAAGCGCAGCGAUGCGUUGAGCUAACCGGUACUAAUGAACCGUGAGG